This 663-nucleotide ribosomal RNA is filed under the name uncultured bacterium. RNAcentral's name for it is "bacterial SSU rRNA". It matches the Rfam family "Bacterial small subunit ribosomal RNA", at positions 142 to 823 of the family's 1533-position model. The record is from RNAcentral.
GAUAACACUUAGAAAUAGGUGCUAAUACCGCAUAAGCGCACGGCUCCGCAUGGGGCAGUGUGAAAAACUCCGGUGGUAUACGAUGGAUCCGCGUCUGAUUAGCUAGUUGGCGGGGUAACGGCCCACCAAGGCAGCGAUCAGUAGCCGGCCUGAGAGGGUGGACGGCCACAUUGGGACUGAGACACGGCCCAAACUCCUACGGGAGGCAGCAGUGGGGAAUAUUGCACAAUGGGGGAAACCCUGAUGCAGCGACGCCGCGUGAGUGAAGAAGUAUCUCGGUACGUAAAGCUCUAUCAGCAGGGAAGAAAAUGACGGUACCUGACUAAGAAGCCCCGGCUAACUACGUGCCAGCAGCCGCGGUAAUACGUAGGGGGCAAGCGUUAUCCGGAUUUACUGGGUGUAAAGGGAGCGUAGACGGCAGCACAAGUCUGGAGUGAAAGGCCGGGGCCCAACCCCGGGACUGCUCUGGAAACUAUUGAACUUGAGUGCAGGAGAGGUAAGCGGAAUUCCUAGUGUAGCGGUGAAAUGCGUAGAUAUUAGGAGGAACACCAGUGGCGAAGGCGGCCUGCUGGACGAUGACUGACGUUGAGGCUCGAAAGCGUGGGGAGCAAACAGGAUUAGAUACCCUGGUAGUCCACGCCGUAAACGAUGACUACUAGGUGU